RNAcentral lists this unclassified non-coding RNA (754 nucleotides) under Hevea brasiliensis (rubber tree). Lineage: Eukaryota; Viridiplantae; Streptophyta; Magnoliopsida; Malpighiales; Euphorbiaceae. The record is from RNAcentral.
UUGUAUAAACUUCAAAGAUCUUUGUAUUAUAUAAUAAGCCUUUCAACUUUACCCUACAAUUUCAAGAACCUCACAAUGAGUUAAAAAGAAUGAAUUGAAACUGCAUAUUACAAGACAAGCUUUUCACAGAUUAUGUCCUGAAAACAUUAAAAAGGAAGAAUGAUCAUCAAACGUUGAUAUCUGAACGCUUAUAUCUGGCACUGCUCAUGUCUUGCGUGCUAGCAAAUCUGGGGAUGCUAUAAUUGUCAGGUGUGGACAUGGGUUGCUGCGGGUAAAGAGUGGGAGGCGGUGUGAGAUUGCGUUGAGCUGGUAAAGGAGGGAGUGUGUUGUACUUGUAAGAGUCUCCGAUAUAACUUGAACUUUUACUUUUAUACAAAUGAUCAUCAUCAUUUGAAAUUUCGCUCGACCCGUGUAGUGGUUUCUGAACUGGAGAAGACCAAUGAUUACCGGGUAGAUCAUCUGAGAAGUAUCUCCUCCUGAUUAACAUGCGGAAAAACUUCAUGACAGCUUCUUUGUCAUAUCUUGCUCCCUUGGCAGCCGCAAUAAGACCUCCACCACCAGGAAAACUCUCAGUCAGUGGGAUUUCUUCACUUGAAGGAAGUAGACCUUGCUUCUCAACCCACAGCCGAGCCAUAUCAACAAGAUUGCCACUGCUUCCUCUAACACCCUCGUUUGUAGCGAUAUCUGCUUUAUUGCCAAUGACAAUGUAAGGAACAGGGAGACCACCAGGACCUCCUGAAGCUAGAGGAGCUGA